GGGUUGAUUUGAGAACAUAUG
Molecule: microRNA, 21 nt
Filed under: Solanum tuberosum (potato)
Lineage: Eukaryota; Viridiplantae; Streptophyta; Magnoliopsida; Solanales; Solanaceae
Description: stu-miR398a-5p
Gene: stu-miR398a-5p
Source: miRBase by way of RNAcentral